RNAcentral lists this ribosomal RNA (271 nucleotides) under Vibrio parahaemolyticus. RNAcentral describes it as "partial 16S ribosomal RNA". It matches the Rfam family "Bacterial small subunit ribosomal RNA", at positions 1138 to 1408 of the family's 1533-position model. Lineage: Bacteria; Pseudomonadati; Pseudomonadota; Gammaproteobacteria; Vibrionales; Vibrionaceae. The record is from RNAcentral.
CUCCAGGGAGACUGCCGGUGAUAAACCGGAGGAAGGUGGGGACGACGUCAAGUCAUCAUGGCCCUUACGAGUAGGGCUACACACGUGCUACAAUGGCGCAUACAGAGGGCGGCCAACUUGCGAAAGUGAGCGAAUCCCAAAAAGUGCGUCGUAGUCCGGAUUGGAGUCUGCAACUCGACUCCAUGAAGUCGGAAUCGCUAGUAAUCGUGGAUCAGAAUGCCACGGUGAAUACGUUCCCGGGCCUUGUACACACCGCCCGUCACACCAUGGG